Non-coding RNA from Podarcis lilfordi (Lilford's wall lizard), 1293 nucleotides. The record is from the annotation of a GenBank genome assembly. NCBI's taxonomy places the organism in Eukaryota, Metazoa, Chordata, Lepidosauria, Squamata, Lacertidae.
GGGUCUGUGCAGAUGUUGCCUCAGCUGUUGCUGUUGGCUACAGACUGCCUAUGAUGUUACAAACAAACAUCUACCAACUGCCUGUGAUGUCACAAGCGGACAUGGCGAAUGAGGGGAAAGAGGCAUUUUCUAGGCGACGGGAGCAGCCCCAGGAAGUUGGGGGUAGGUAGGGCAGCUUUGGUCACAGAAGUGAGUUGCCAACUUUUCUCGCUCUCAGGGCUCCUGUGCUUGUCUCACCUACACAGCUUCCAAAACAAUAAAAUGAAAUCACAACUGAUUUAGUCACCCCACCACAACUUAUAAAGAGUUUUUGUUUCGUUCUUCUGUCCUUUGGGCCACAUCAAUGAGGCCAAGAGGGCGAUCUUGUCAUCUGGGCAGCCCAGGAAAGCCAUACACACCGCCCAGGCUUGCACCCUGGGGAGGCCACUUCAGUACUGCUAACACAGCAGUUUGACUUCAUCCCCAAGAGGUGCCUUCCAUUAUCUCUCAAGACAGAUGCCAACAACGUGGGAUGUGUGAAAUUUGUGCCAGGAGCAAACCAGCCACAGCACACAUACUUAGCUGACGGACUGAGUGUUGCUUAAUUGGUUAUUUAUUUACAUCCCUGGGAGGAGGAUAGAAUGCCUUUUCUCCUUCCCAUCCCCUGCAAAACGAUGAGGUUGUGUGAUCAUAUACUGUAGAUCAGAGAACUGGAUUUGGCCAGGAAGCCAGAUCCUUACCUUCUGUACCCAUCCAUUGAAGACCACAUUAUUUUAAUAAACAAAUUGCUUCCAGUCAGUACAGACACAGUUAUUGUUCACAUGGAUGUCUGGAAGGUAAUCUUUGACCCUCACCCAGCAUCAUAAGGACCAGGCUCUUGUUCUCUUUUUUUAAUAGAAUAAAUUCUUCAUUCACAAGUAACUGAAUGGAUCAGGCUGGCUGAACUUAAGCCUUCUCAGUUAAAGGCACCAGGAAUUAUAUUUUCUCCCUCAGGGAGCAAAUAAUUCUUCUCUAUACAGGAAAAUCUAUAAGACGUUCACUGUGAUGUGGCAGUAAAUACAACCAUCCAAAGAAGGCAGAUGCAAAAAAAAAAAAAAAAAAGGGUGUAGAUGGAUAAGAAAUCCCUUACCAAACUGAAGCAAAGUUGCCAUAAAUGUUGUCUGCCCAGAGGAAAGCAAUGGGAAACAAAAGCCACCAGCUUAUGAGAUCACAGCUCAUAAAGAAUGCAUAUAAAGAGGUCAGUAACCAAACAAUGGUGCUCUUCUAGUUCAUUUACAACACCCUUAGACUGUUAAUCAGACCAAAAUGUCAGCU